RNAcentral lists this ribosomal RNA (624 nucleotides) under Peperomia pellucida. RNAcentral's name for it is "eukaryotic LSU rRNA". The stretch from base 199 to 354 matches the Rfam family "5.8S ribosomal RNA". The record is from RNAcentral. Lineage: Eukaryota; Viridiplantae; Streptophyta; Magnoliopsida; Piperales; Piperaceae.
AUUGUCGAUACCUAACAAAAACAGCCCAGACCCAGCGAACAUGUUAAACCACAGCGCCGACGGCCGCUAACCCGGUCCCGACGCGCACAAAAACAAUCCCGGCGCAGCAAGCGCCAAGUAAGUUGCAUACGACCGCACACGCACCUCCCCGCUCGGGGAGGACGCGGGUGCGUCGAAACACGUACAAUAAGUCAAUAUGACUCUCGGCAACGGAUAUCUCGGCUCUCGCAUCGAUGAAGAACGCAGCAAAAUGCGAUACUUGGUGUGAAUUGCAGAAUCCCGUGAAUCAUCGAGUCUUUGAACGCAAGUUGCGCCCGAGGCCCUACGGCCGAGGGCACAUCUGCUUGGGCGUCGACAGUGGUUGGGGCGCGGUGUUGAUUAGCAGGUCAACCCGCGCCCGUGCACGUUGGUCGUCCGUGCGCCGUAUGUAGCGCGCGGUUGGCUGAAAUUGAUCGGGUGCGAGGCGUUGGAGCCCCAACAAGUCGGUGGUUGUGAAGGCCGCAAGGCCGCGAUUGUCGGAAAGUUGCGAAGCUCCACCACCCCGCCGCCCCAUUAGUACCCCGACGUGCAUGCCAUGCGUGCAUGCACAUGGAUCCCGACCCCAAGUCAGGUGGGACUACCCGC